AUCAAUAAGCGGAGGAAAAGAAACCAACAGGGAUUGCCCCUAGUAACGGCGAGUGAAGCGGCAACAGCUCAAAUUUGAAAUCUGGCCCUCGGGUCCGAGUUGUAAUUUGUAGAGGAUGCUUUUGGUGAGGUACCUUCCGAGUUCCCUGGAACGGGACGCCAUAGAGGGUGAGAGCCCCGUCUGGUUGGAUACCGAGCCUCUGUAAAGCUCCUUCGACGAGUCGAGUAGUUUGGGAAUGCUGCUCUAAAUGGGAGGUAUAUGUCUUCUAAAGCUAAAUACCGGCCAGAGACCGAUAGCGCACAAGUAGAGUGAUCGAAAGAUGAAAAGCACUUUGAAAAGAGAGUUAAAAAGUACGUGAAAUUGUUGAAAGGGAAGCGCUUAUGACCAGACUUGGGCUUGGUUGAUCAUCCUGGGUUCUCCCUGGUGCACUCUUCCAGUUCAGGCCAGCAUCAGUUCGCUGCGGGGGAUAAAAGUUUUGGGAAUGUGGCUCCCUCGGGAGUGUUAUAGCCCAUUUCAUAAUACCCUGCUCCGGACUGAGGUUCGCGCAUCUGCAAGGAUGCUGGCGUAAUGGUCAUCAGCGACCCGUCUUGAAACACGGACCAAGGAGUCGUCUUCGUAUGCGAGUGUUCGGGUGUUAAACCCCUACGCGUAAUGAAAGUGAACGCAGGUGAGAGCUUCGGCGCAUCAUCGACCGAUCCUGAUGUUCUCGGAUGGAUUUGAGUAAGAGCAUACGGGGCCGGACCCGAAAGAAGGUGAACUAUGCCUGUAUAGGGUGAAGCCAGAGGAAACUCUGGUGGAGGCUCGCAGCGGUUCUGACGUGCAAAUCGAUCGUCAAAUAUGGGCAUGGGGGCGAAAGACUAAUCGAACCUUCUAGUAGCUGGUUUCC
Molecule: ribosomal RNA, 886 nt
Filed under: Calonectria fujianensis
Lineage: Eukaryota; Fungi; Ascomycota; Sordariomycetes; Hypocreales; Nectriaceae
Description: partial large subunit ribosomal RNA
Rfam family: Eukaryotic large subunit ribosomal RNA
Source: RNAcentral